UUGAAUUACUUUUAAUGCUUUUAUCUCUAAAUCUUUGUUGCUGUAUUGAAAGUGCCUAGAAUAGAGCCUGGACUAAAAGUGCUCAAAAACAUGUGUUGAAUAAAUGAAUCGAUUUAUGAUUUAUUUGGAUGCAAUCACUGAGACAUCACCUUCCUAUUACUGCCAAAAGCCAAGAUCAUGAAGGUGAUUUGGACAAAGGCCCAGUGUAAUCAUGGCUAUGUCAGGUUCACUGUGUGGUACUCUCUUCCCAUCUUCCCUAAGGAUACCAUCGAAACAGUUUUAUUUCCGGCAAUGGAAAAAUGAGAUCAGCUCUGACUGCAAAAUUGCAAGCAUUACAUACUAUGGCAAGAAUCAGUACAAAUAAAAAACAAGUCUUUGGAAAAAAGGUAAAGAAAGAGAAUCCUUAAAACUUAUGUAAUAUGCCCAAAGUUGCAUAGCUGACCUGUUGAGGCAAAAGAGAGGAGAGAAAUGAUUGAAGAACAAGGUAAUAGCCAAAAAAGUUGGAUUCUUCUUAGGAUAAUGGCUCAAGGAGCUCCACAAUCAGGCAACAGAAAUAAAGAGCAUACUAAUUGGCAAGAAACCUAACUUUCACUAUGUGCAGAUGACACGAUCUUCUAUGUAGAAAACCCAAAAGGCUCCACCAAAAAAUUGUUAGAAUACAUGAAUUCACCAAAGUCCCAGGAUAUAAAAUCAAAGUGCAGAAAUCUGUUGCAUUUCUAUGCACCAAUAAUGAAGCAGCAGAAAAAGAAAUCAAGGAAUCAAUUCCAUUUGAAACUGUACCAAAAACGACAUAACAGCUGGCAACAA
Felis catus (domestic cat) is the source of this 807-nucleotide long non-coding RNA. RefSeq lists it as uncharacterized. The record is from RefSeq and is a predicted model, not a curated record. The transcript has 7 exons. Lineage: Eukaryota; Metazoa; Chordata; Mammalia; Carnivora; Felidae.